Molecule: ribosomal RNA, 478 nt
Filed under: uncultured bacterium
Lineage: Bacteria
Description: partial 16S ribosomal RNA
Rfam family: Bacterial small subunit ribosomal RNA
Source: RNAcentral
GACGAACGCUGGCGGCGUGCUUAACACAUGCAAGUCGAACGGUAAGGCCCUUCGGGGUACACGAGUGGCGAACGGGUGAGUAACACGUGGGUGAUCUGCCCUGCACUUCGGGAUAAGCCUGGGAAACUGGGUCUAAUACCGGAUAGGACUCCUGGCUUCAUGGUUGGGGGUGGAAAGCUUUUGCGGUGUGGGAUGGGCCCGCGGCCUCUCAGCUAGUUGGUGGGGUAAUGGCCUACCAAGGCGACGACGGGUAGCCGGCCUGAGAGGGUGACCGGUGACACUGGGACGGAGAGACGGCCCAGGCUACUACGGGAGGCAGCAGUGGGGAAUAUUGCACAAUGGGCGCAAGACUGAUGCAGCGACGCCGCGGGAGGGAUGACGGCCUUCGGGUUGUAAACCUCUUUCAGCUAUGACGAAGCGCAAGUGACGGUAGUAGCAGAAGAAGGACCGGCCAACUACGUGCCAGCAGCCGCGGUAA